CGCUUUCUCGCGGGAGAGCGGGCUGCCGUCACCACCAGCCCCGCCGAAGGCGCAAACUCCCAUAAUCGCUCAGGCCCCGGUACCGCAAGAAAAUU
Molecule: non-coding RNA, 95 nt
Filed under: uncultured Comamonas sp.
Lineage: Bacteria; Pseudomonadati; Pseudomonadota; Betaproteobacteria; Burkholderiales; Comamonadaceae
Description: Glycine
Rfam family: Glycine riboswitch aptamer
About the family: This family represents the bacterial glycine riboswitch. Glycine riboswitches usually consist of two metabolite-binding aptamers domains with similar structures in tandem. The aptamers cooperatively bind glycine to regulate the expression of downstream genes.
Source: RNAcentral